RNAcentral lists this transfer RNA (72 nucleotides) under Candidatus Spechtbacteria bacterium RIFCSPLOWO2_01_FULL_38_20. RNAcentral describes it as "tRNA-Lys". It matches the Rfam family "tRNA". From Rfam's summary of the family: Transfer RNA (tRNA) molecules are approximately 80 nucleotides in length. Their secondary structure includes four short double-helical elements and three loops (D, anti-codon, and T loops). The record is from RNAcentral. RNAcentral also lists the same sequence under 1 other name. Lineage: Bacteria; Candidatus Spechtiibacteriota.
GGGUCUUUAGCUCAUCAGGCAGAGCAUCGGGCUUUUAACCCGACGGGCAGGGUUCGAGUCCCUGAAGGCCCA